GGCUUUCUGAUAUAAAAAUCUUUCUAUAGAGAGAUGAACUAAGAUUGCUUCAAGGUUAAGGGUCUCUGGAGCCCAUUCCAUGAAGAUAUAUUACAGUAGAGAUGAUCAAGUGCAGAGAUGUCACCUGAGAAGAUUGUACAAGGUUUCUCAAGUUGGCUUAUGAGGAAACUGAGUCCCAGAGAGGGGCAAUGACUUAUACAAGUUUUCCAUGGGGCCUGGUGGAAGACUAGGACGGUCAACAGCAGCCUGGAGAGCCUGGAGUCUGCGUCAAUAUGCAACCCUAGCCCUGCACGCUGGGCGUUUGCCUGAGGUUUCCAGUGCACCGGAGGCGCGUACUCGUCUGCCUAAGAGGUGUCUGAGGCGCAUGGCCCCGGGAGAGGAGGAGAAUGGGACGGUGGUUCAGAUCUGCUGAUGUAGCUGUGGUCAGUCACUGGGGAGAAUAGGCCUGUGGAUUUCUGCUCCUCUGAGAUGGAUCCAUCACUGACUACUGAACUUGUUUUCUCAUUGGCUCAACUUAAGAAGGUUCUAGAGGGAACUGACUUCUUCCUCCUCAUGGUCCACUUGAAAUUCCAGGAAAAGGAACAGAUGUGCAAGGAAUUGCAGCCUGGAGAAACAUAGUGUAUUUGGAGACUUGCAUGUAAAUGGAUAAGUAGGUGUAGGAGGAGAAGCUGGGUCACAUUUUCCUAAAUUUUAUUCCACAAAACACUAGUUCUGUGAGACGCUCUAUGGAAAUUGGUCCCAUGAUCAGUACAUUUGGGGCAUGCUGCAUGUUGUAUUCCCUGUUGUCUUAUAUUGGAUUUCCUAAAAAUAGACUCUGAGGUGGAGACUUAUGUGCAGAAGGUCUCUUGGCGAAUGCUCCAGGGAGGCGUGCGUGUAAGGAAGUGAGACAGACCCACCUCAGGCCCCUGGGACUUCCACUGGCCAGACGCCCUGUGCCUACUUGUGUCAUGGGAUACAGGGCCCAUCUCUUCCCAUCUCCACACUCUGACCACACGCUAGUAGCUUGAAAUCAGCCAUGGUGCAACUAUUGGCAUCACAAAAAUGGACAAAUGCUUCAAACUGGGGCCUGACUUAUUGUUUUGUUGAUUGCCAGGCUUAAAAAGUGAUGGAAAGGAUGCUAAUAAUGCAUAUUAAACCAAAAAAGUGCGUCAUGUCUGUAGCUGUGACAUUGUGAAUAGCACAAGCAUUGAGGUUACAUGCUUCUGAUAUUUGAAAACCCUUAUUGGAUUCAACAAAGAAUUCACUCAUGUCAUUGUCUAUCAGGUGAAGCUCUGAUGCACAUUUUUUGCUUUCACUUUUGCCUUAUUCAUUAAUAUAAACAGAAUGUCAAUCAACCUUCAUGUUGUGUCUACGCUCAAUCAUCCCUGAUGACCCUACGCUGACUACAGAUGCAGAAUUCAGCAAAAACCAAUGAAAGCAUUCGGUGAGAAUCAAUGGCUAUAUGGAGCUUACAAUAAACCGUAUUGUGUAUUUUAUUAUUACGUAUACGUUGUGUGUUACAUAUCUGUUAUAUCAGCACAAUUUAUAGUAAAAUCAUGUAGUUGGUGAACAUUUACCAGCAUAUCACUGGGGCUGGUGGAGUUUGGGUGGGAGCAUCUGAGAUUGCCGUUGGAGAAUGCUGCAGCCAAAGUCUACUGGCAAAGACAUCCCGUGCCUCUCAGGACUGGCA
Molecule: long non-coding RNA, 1669 nt
Filed under: Homo sapiens (human)
Lineage: Eukaryota; Metazoa; Chordata; Mammalia; Primates; Hominidae
Description: HSALNT0130385
Source: RNAcentral